RNAcentral lists this ribosomal RNA (447 nucleotides) under uncultured Rikenellaceae bacterium. RNAcentral's name for it is "bacterial SSU rRNA". It matches the Rfam family "Bacterial small subunit ribosomal RNA", at positions 933 to 1382 of the family's 1533-position model. The record is from RNAcentral. Lineage: Bacteria; Pseudomonadati; Bacteroidota; Bacteroidia; Bacteroidales; Rikenellaceae.
AGGAACAUGUGGUUUAAUUCGAUGAUACGCGAGGAACCUUACCCGGGCUCGAACGGUGCAGGAAUAUGGUAGAGAUAUCAUAGCUAGCAAUAGUCUGUAUCGAGGUGCUGCAUGGUUGUCGUCAGCUCGUGCCGUGAGGUGUCGGCUUAAGUGCCAUAACGAGCGCAACCCUUGUCGUUAGUUACCAUCAAGUAAAGUUGGGGACUCUAGCGAGACUGCACCGUAAGGUGUGAGAAGGGGGGGAUGACGUCAAAUCAGCACGGCCCUUACGUCCGGGGCGACACACGUGUUACAAUGGUAGGUACAGAGGGGCGCUAUCCAGUGAUGGAGUGCGAAUCUCAAAAACCUAUCUCAGUUCGGAUUGGAGUCUGCAACUCGACUCCAUGAAGUUGGAUUCGCUAGUAAUCGCGCAUCAGCCAUGGCGCGGUGAAUACGUUCCCGGGCCUU